GACUGAGACACGGCCCAGACUCCUACGGGAGGCAGCAGUGGGGAAUAUUGCGCAAUGGGCGAAAGCCUGACGCAGCCAUGCCGCGUGAGUGAAGAAGGCCUUCGGGUUGUAAAGCUCUUUCAACGGUGAAGAUGAUGACGGUAGCCGUAGAAGAAGCCCCGGCUAACUUCGUGCCAGCAGCCGCGGUAAUACGAAGGGGGCAAGCGUUGUUCGGAAUUACUGGGCGUAAAGGGCGUGUAGGCGGAUCGACCAGUCAGGGGUGAAAUCCCGGGGCUCAACCUCGGAACUGCCUUUGAUACUGUCGAUCUAGAGUCUGUGAGAGGGUGGCGGAAUACCCAGUGUAGAGGUGAAAUUCGUAGAUAUUGGGUAGAACACCAGUGGCGAAGGCGGCCACCUGGCACAGUACUGACGCUGAGGCGCGAAAGCGUGGGGAGCAAACAGGAUUAGAUACCCUGGUAGUCCACGCCGUAAACGAUGUCAGCUAGCCGUUGGGUGUUAGGCACUCAGUGGCGCCGCUAACGCAUUAAGCUG
This 531-nucleotide ribosomal RNA is filed under the name Marivibrio halodurans. RNAcentral describes it as "bacterial SSU rRNA". It matches the Rfam family "Bacterial small subunit ribosomal RNA", at positions 317 to 867 of the family's 1533-position model. Lineage: Bacteria; Pseudomonadati; Pseudomonadota; Alphaproteobacteria; Rhodospirillales; Aestuariispiraceae. The record is from RNAcentral.